Molecule: ribosomal RNA, 139 nt
Filed under: uncultured ectomycorrhiza (Basidiomycota)
Lineage: Eukaryota; Fungi; Basidiomycota
Description: partial 28S ribosomal RNA
Rfam family: Eukaryotic large subunit ribosomal RNA
Source: RNAcentral
UCGACCUCGAAUCAGGUAGGACUACCCGCCGAACUUAAGCAUAUCAAUAAGCGGAGGAAAAGAAACUAACGAGGAUUCCCCUAGUAACUGCGAGUGAAGCGGGAAGAGCUCAAAUUUCGAAUCUGGCGACCAAGGGUCG